Molecule: ribosomal RNA, 253 nt
Filed under: uncultured bacterium
Lineage: Bacteria
Description: partial 16S ribosomal RNA
Rfam family: Bacterial small subunit ribosomal RNA
Source: RNAcentral
UACAGAGGUCUCAAGCGUUGUUCGGAUUCAUUGGGCGUAAAGGGUGCGUAGGUGGCGCCGUAAGUGGGGUGUGAAAUUUCGGAGCUUAACUCCGAAACUGCAUUCCAUACUGUGGUGCUUGAGGACUGGAGAGGAGACUGGAAUUUACGGUGUAGCAGUGAAAUGCGUAGAGAUCGUAAGGAAGACCAGUGGCGAAGGCGGGUCUCUGGACAGUUCCUGACACUGAGGCACGAAGGCCAGGGGAGCAAACGGG